GUAGGUGGCAAGCGUUGUCCGGGAAUUAUUGGGCGUAAAGCGCGCGCAGGCGGUUCUUUAAGUCUGAUGUGAAAGCCCACGGGCUCAACCGUGGAGGGUCAUUGGAAACUGGAGAACUUGAGUGCAGAAGAGGAAAGCGGAAUUCCACGUGUAGCGGUGAAAUGCGUAGAGAUGUGGAGGAACACCAGUGGCGAAGGCGGCUUUCUGGUCUGUAACUGACGCUGAGGCGCGAAAGCGUGGGGAGCAAACAGGAUUAGAUACCCUGGUAGUCCACGCCGUAAACGAUGAGUGCUAAGUGUUAGGGGGUUUCCGCCCCUUAGUGCUGCAGCUAACGCAUUAAGCACUCCGCCUGGGGAGUACGGCCGCAAGGCUG
RNAcentral lists this ribosomal RNA (373 nucleotides) under uncultured organism. Its description in RNAcentral is "partial 16S ribosomal RNA". It matches the Rfam family "Bacterial small subunit ribosomal RNA", at positions 527 to 896 of the family's 1533-position model. The record is from RNAcentral.